CAGGUGCUCCAGAACGACAUCGACCUGCUCAACCCGUCAGCGGAGCUCGAGAAGCUCAAGCACAAGAAGAAGCGCCUCGUCCAGUCCCCCAACUCCUUCUUCAUGGUAAGCAAUUCCCCUUCCCUUCAAAUCUUCUCUCUCCUUUUCGGCAUCAUUCUUACCGAUGUUUGUUUAGGCUGUUCCCUAAUUAGAUGA
Molecule: ribosomal RNA, 195 nt
Filed under: Triticum aestivum (bread wheat)
Lineage: Eukaryota; Viridiplantae; Streptophyta; Magnoliopsida; Poales; Poaceae
Description: partial small subunit ribosomal RNA
Source: RNAcentral